This 430-nucleotide ribosomal RNA is filed under the name Acidobacteriota bacterium. RNAcentral's name for it is "Acidobacteria bacterium partial 16S ribosomal RNA". It matches the Rfam family "Bacterial small subunit ribosomal RNA", at positions 355 to 776 of the family's 1533-position model. Lineage: Bacteria; Pseudomonadati; Acidobacteriota. The record is from RNAcentral.
UGGGGAAUAUUGGACAAUGGGCGAAAGCCUGAUCCAGCCAUGCCGCGUGUGUGAAGAAGGCCUUUUGGUUGUAAAGCACUUUAAGCGAGGAGGAGGCUACUUGGAUUAAUACUCAAGGAUAGUGGACGUUACUCGCAGAAUAAGCACCGGCUAACUCUGUGCCAGCAGCCGCGGUAAUACAGAGGGCGCGAGCGUUAAUCGGAUUUACUGGGCGUAAAGCGUGCGUAGGCGGCUUUUUAAGUCGGAUGUGAAAUCCCUGAGCUUAACUUAGGAAUUGCAUUCGAUACUGGGAAGCUAGAGUAUGAGAGAGGAUGGUAGAAUUCCAGGUGUAGCGGUGAAAUGCGUAGAGAUCUGGAGGAAUACCGAUGGCGAAGGCAGCCAUCUGGCCUAAUACUGACGCUGAGGUACGAAAGCAUGGGGAGCAAACAGG